AGUGAACGCUGGCGGUAGGCCUAACACAUGCAAGUCGAACGGCAGCACAGUAAGAGCUUGCUCUUACGGGUGGCGAGUGGCGGACGGGUGAGGAAUACAUCGGAAUCUACUUUUUCGUGGGGGAUAACGUAGGGAAACUUACGCUAAUACCGCAUACGACCUACGGGUGAAAGCAGGGGAUCUUCGGACCUUGCGCGAUUGAAUGAGCCGAUGUCGGAUUAGCUAGUUGGCGGGGUAAAGGCCCACCAAGGCGACGAUCCGUAGCUGGUCUGAGAGGAUGAUCAGCCACACUGGAACUGAGACACGGUCCAGACUCCGACGGGAGGCAGCAGUGGGGAAUAUUGGACAAUGGGCGCAAGCCUGAUCCAGCCAUACCGCGUGGGUGAAGAAGGCCUUCGGGUUGUAAAGCCCUUUUGUUGGGAAAGAAAAGCAGCAGGUUAAUACCCCACUGUUCUGACGGUACCCAAAGAAUAAGCACCGGCUAACUUCGUG
Molecule: ribosomal RNA, 492 nt
Filed under: uncultured bacterium
Lineage: Bacteria
Description: partial 16S ribosomal RNA
Rfam family: Bacterial small subunit ribosomal RNA
Source: RNAcentral